GUAAUUAUUUUUUAGUUUAAAAAAACAUGUUUGUCAAAAAUAAAAUAAUUAAAAAUUUAUAAUUAUU
RNAcentral lists this transfer RNA (67 nucleotides) under Liposcelis entomophila. RNAcentral's name for it is "tRNA-Asp". Lineage: Eukaryota; Metazoa; Arthropoda; Insecta; Psocodea; Liposcelididae. The record is from RNAcentral.